This 212-nucleotide long non-coding RNA is filed under the name Elaeis guineensis (African oil palm). RNAcentral's name for it is "long non-coding RNA (EGUI_LNC052463)". The record is from RNAcentral. Lineage: Eukaryota; Viridiplantae; Streptophyta; Magnoliopsida; Arecales; Arecaceae.
CUUGACUAUAUGAGAGAUCACUGGAAUUUCUAUUCAAUCGUCAAUGAUUGUCUCGAUGAUGUAGUUGUGUAUCUGAUUCUUUAACUUAAGAUGAUAUUACUGCUCGCAGUGAUGUUGUUGGAGUUUGAUUGAUACAUAAACAUAGGUCUUAAUGAGCCCUUAUAGUAGAUAUUGAUGACAGUUGAUCCACUAUAGGAGUAGGAUGCGCAUCA